This 460-nucleotide ribosomal RNA is filed under the name uncultured bacterium. RNAcentral describes it as "partial 16S ribosomal RNA". It matches the Rfam family "Bacterial small subunit ribosomal RNA", at positions 338 to 795 of the family's 1533-position model. The record is from RNAcentral.
CCUACGGGAGGCAGCAGUGAGGAAUAUUGGUCAAUGGCCGUAAGGCUGAACCAGCCAAGUCGCGUGAAGGAAGAAGGAUCUAUGGUUUGUAAACUUCUUUUAUAGGGGAAUAAAGGUAUCCACGUGUGGAUCUUUGCAUGUACCCUAUGAAUAAGCAUCGGCUAACUCCGUGCCAGCAGCCGCGGUAAUACGGAGGAUGCGAGCGUUAUCCGGAUUUAUUGGGUUUAAAGGGUGCGUAGGUUGUUUUUUAAGUCAGCGGUGAAAGUUUGUGGCUCAACCAUAAAAUUGCCGUUGAAACUGGAAGACUUGAGUGUGUUUGAGGUAGGCGGAAUGCGUGGUGUAGCGGUGAAAUGCAUAGAUAUCAUGCAGAACUCCGAUUGCGAAGGCAGCUUACUAAGCCAUAACUGACACUGAAGCACGAAAGCGUGGGGAUCAAACAGGAUUAGAUACCCCAGUAGUC